GGCUCAGGACGAACGCUGGCGGCGUGCUUAACACAUGCAAGUCGAACGGUGACGGAUGGAGCUUGCUCUGUCUUGAUCAGUGGCGAACGGGUGAGUAACACGUGAGUAACCUGCCCCAGACUCUGGAAUAACCCCGGGAAACCGGAGCUAAUACCGGAUAUGACACCAACCUGCAUGGGUAUGGUGUGGAAAGUUUUUCGGUCUGGGAUGGACUCGCGGCCUAUCAGCUUGUUGGUGAGGUAAUGGCUCACCAAGGCGACGACGGGUAGCCGGCCUGAGAGGGCGACCGGCCACACUGGGACUGAGACACGGCCCAGACUCCUACGGGAGGCAGCAGUGGGGAAUAUUGCACAAUGGGCGAAAGCCUGAUGCAGCGACGCCGCGUGAGGGAUGACGGCCUUCGGGUUGUAAACCUCUUUCAGCAGGGAAGAAGCGCAAGUGACGGUACCUGCAGAAGAAGCACCGGCUAACUACGUGCC
Molecule: ribosomal RNA, 479 nt
Filed under: Salmonella enterica
Lineage: Bacteria; Pseudomonadati; Pseudomonadota; Gammaproteobacteria; Enterobacterales; Enterobacteriaceae
Description: bacterial SSU rRNA
Rfam family: Bacterial small subunit ribosomal RNA
Source: RNAcentral